RNAcentral lists this ribosomal RNA (401 nucleotides) under uncultured microorganism. Its description in RNAcentral is "bacterial SSU rRNA". It matches the Rfam family "Archaeal small subunit ribosomal RNA", at positions 330 to 732 of the family's 1478-position model. The record is from RNAcentral.
GCGCAGCAGUCGCGAAACCUCCGCAAUACACGAAAGUGUGACGGGGCCAUCCCGAGUGCCGUCCGCUGAGGACGGCUUUUCCCCAGUGUACACAGCUGGGGGAAUAAGGAGAGGGCAAGCCUGGUGUCAGCCGCCGCGGUAAUACCAGCUCUCCGAGUGGUGGGGACGCUUAUUGGGCCUAAAGCAUCCGUAGCCGGCUGGGCAAGUCCUCCGUUAAAUCCAACGAUUCAAUCGUUGGGCUGCGGGGGAUACUGUCCAGCUUGGGGGCGGGAGAGGCCGACGGUAUUCCCGGGGUAGGGGUGAAAUCCUAUAAUCCCGGGAGGACCACCAGUGGCGAAGGCUGUCGGCUAGAACGCGCCCGACGGUGAGGGAUGAAAAGCUGGGGGAGCGAACCGGAUUAG